UGGGUGGAAUCCCUAUGAAUGCUGCUU
This 27-nucleotide non-coding RNA is filed under the name Rattus norvegicus (Norway rat). Lineage: Eukaryota; Metazoa; Chordata; Mammalia; Rodentia; Muridae. The record is from RNAcentral.